This 393-nucleotide ribosomal RNA is filed under the name uncultured bacterium. RNAcentral describes it as "partial 16S ribosomal RNA". It matches the Rfam family "Bacterial small subunit ribosomal RNA", at positions 523 to 918 of the family's 1533-position model. The record is from RNAcentral.
AUACGGAGGAUGCGAGCGUUAUCCGGAUUUAUUGGGUUUAAAGGGUGCGUAGGCGGUCGGGUAAGCGUAGGGUGAAAGUCCUCUGCUCAACAGAGGAAGUGCCUUCCGAACUGUCCGACUGGAAUGCUCCUGCCGUGGGAGGAAUGUGUGGUGUAGCGGCGUAAUGCAUAGAGAUCACACAGAACACCGAUUGCGAAGGCAUCUCACGAAGGGGCUAUUGACGCUGAGGCACGAAAGCGUGGGGAUCGAACAGGAUUAGAUACCCUGGUAGUCCACGCAGUAAACGAUGAUGACUAACCGUCGGUCAAGACUGAUCGGUGGCCAAGCGAAAGCGAUAAGUCAUCCACCUGGGGAGUACGACCGCAAGGUUGAAACUCAAAUGAAUUGGCGGGG